Molecule: ribosomal RNA, 181 nt
Filed under: uncultured bacterium
Lineage: Bacteria
Description: partial 16S ribosomal RNA
Rfam family: Bacterial small subunit ribosomal RNA
Source: RNAcentral
CAUGAAGUCGGAAUUGCUAGUAAUCGCGGAUCAGCGUGCCGCGGUGAAUACGUUCCCGGGCCUUGUACACACCGCCCGUCACACCAUGGGAGCCGGUAAUACCCGAAGUCAGUAGUCCAACCUCGUGAGGACGCUGCCGAAGGUAGGAUUGGCGACUGGGGUGAAGUCGUAACAAGGUAAC